CCAAUGACCUUCUCCCUUGACACCACGGAAUGAUCAUCAUCACUGUCCCCCUGAUCAUCUUCAGGCAUGGAAGUUAUUGAUUUUUCGAUGUUUACUGCGCCCUUCGAUGAAUCUAGCCUUGCCAAUAUCUCCGGUUGGCUACGAUCGUUGCCUGUUUCUUGGAGUUGGAAGACUUCUUCAGGUGUGGUUUCAGUGACCUCAGCCAGGCAAGGGAUGGUUUCUUCAGCAGGAACCAUUUCAUCUUCGGGUUUGUCGCCAUCGACGCACCGCUCAGUAGGGAUGCUUCUGAGCCUGCUCCAGAACUCCUCAUCCUCUUCAGCUGGGCUCAUCUGCAAUCAUGCAAAGAGAACAACUGAGAAAAUGCAAAUUGGAUAAUUUUAUUGUCACCGCAUUUUGGGAACUUUCUCAUUCUACCCCAAUCAUCUGUCACAGGCAUGGUUGCUCACCUUAACAUCGCUGAGAUCGACCUUGUUCUCUCUGAGGAAGGCCUGGAAUUCCUGGAAGUUCUCUUCGGUGGGGCGGUAGUGCCCGCUGUGAGGCCAGAUAGCCUUCAGAACUCCAUCUUCGACAACCAGUCGCCCGGCAGCAGAUGUGGCGCCUCCAGCGAGAAAGCUAGAAUGCUGAAACGUGCCCUUUUUCUUCUGCAGAAAGUAGAGUUUUGGACAAUGUUAGAUUACUAUGAUUCAGUACACAUAGGUGAUAGGUCCAAUGCAGUGUUGGGUAUUGAUAGUACUCUAGUAUGAAGCCUGAACAUUACCUGCCCGACAUACAUAUUCCUGGAUGUGCUCAGCACAAAGAUCCAUUUUGCGUCCCUCGGACCGCCGGAGGUGUCGAGGAUUUGCCUGCUGUUCUUGUACAUGAACUUGCCAUCCUCAAUCACAACCUCAUAGUCCUCUCUCUCUUUCUGCAGGCACAACGAAAAUUCAGUUUGAAUCAUCAGUACCGCUGACCUCACAUGGGCUUGCAUUUCUACUCCAGCUAUACUAUACAUUUAUCCCAUGUACGUAAAAUGUUUGCAAAAACUUACCGGUCCAAGAUACUUGAUGCACUGGCUGAGAAGCUUGGACCGCGGGCACCGGUCCUCGAGGUUGAUCUCCUUGCCCUCUCCAAUGUCGAGCCUAAAGAACCAAACAUGGUGAUGAGUCUAUAAGGUACUUCAGCAUAAAGAUUCAGAAAUUCCAACAACCAUCAUCAGUUGAGCCGUGACACUCACCAGUAGAAGAAAGGCUCCCUGCUUUCGCACCUCAGCCAGCAGUCGUAGUAGUAGUGAAGGUUGUGGCCGUACCGGUGACGCGGGUCAAUCUGCUCGUCAGAAAUUGCAGGGCUCGCAUUAGCACAUACAGUACUUUUACAAAAAAGAGAACACAUCAACCUAACUGAACAUUUGGCAGUUUCUCUGAGGAAAGUACUCACAGCUUCAAGCCAGUGCUGCAAUGCGAGCUUCCGAGCUUUCUCAUCCUUGGAGAGCCCCUUUCCGACCUGAAAUCGCACGAAGCGUUAGCCGAAUUUCACGAAUGGAUAUGGCAAUCAUCAGAGAGAUUUCUUGAAGAAGGACCGGUUAAUUUCGGGAGAAGAACGUACUUUGGCGGCUCUGGUUCUGGCGCGCGCCCACUUGGACACGGCGGUCUCCUGCCGCUCGAUGUCGAAGAAGGAGACGGAGCUCCGCUUGAGCAGCGCGAAGUCCAGCAGCUCCCACCAGUUCUGCUCCACGAGCACGGCGCAGUCGGCGAGCCGGCGCCGCGUCCGGAAGCUCUUGUACACCUUCUGCAGCGUCACCGCCGCCGCCUCGUGCUUGGGGCUCUCCGGCGCCGGCACUCCCGCCGCGUCCGCGAACCGCGUCCGGAGGAGCUCCCUCGGCAUCGGCACCGGCACCGGCACCGGCGCGGUGACCGCGUCGACGGCGUCGGACGUGGUGAUGGGGAUCUUGGGCUCCACCAGCUGGAGCCGCUUGAAGCUGAGGGAGCCCUCGAUGCGGAGCUUGCCGGAGCCAAGCGAGGCCUUGAGGAACGUCGCCUGCUCCUCCGCCGCGACGAGGCCGCAUUCGCCCGCGCCGCCGUCCUCCUCCACGGGGCACGAGAAGAGCACGCCCAUCGCGCCGCGCAAGCUCAAAGCAGAGCAAAACCAACCGAAGCUCGCGAUUUCUCCUCGUGCCGAUCCUGUUUGACCCCGCUGGAUCCCACCUCGAGGCCGGUCGUCGACGAACAAGAGCGAGUGCAGUAGAGCUGUGGUAUGUCUGUAUGUAUGUAUUUCUUGGUGCGAGCGAGCGAACUACCGGGCUGGCUGCAGGAGCCACUGGGCGAAUAUAUAGCGGGAGGAGACCGAGCAGACCGGGCUGGCCAGUGGAGGGACGCGCGGUGAGGGUGGGCCACCGUCGGAUGCGGAAAAGCGUCGGGGGCCCCGCUCCGGAGUACCACGUGUUCAUGGGCGGAUGUCACGCGGGACGCCGGAGGUGCUGACCUGUCUCGGCUGACGGGAAGCGUGUCCCCGGGCUGCCUUGGAGAGUUGUGCCUGACUGACUGACUGCGUGUGGUUUCACCACCGCGUAGAUCAAAAAUUGAAUUUCACACUGGAGAGUGCACUACUAUCGCCGUGCACACGGCAACGCAUGGAAAGGCUAAGGAGAAAUUUGCGGGGAAAUGUUGACGGCAUCGAGACGAAAAUUUUAGUUUUAAAUUCGACCAUGGACUAAGACACACGAUCAAUAUGCACACGGUCGAUUAUCGCCAACGAAGUGGUCGUCGCCAAGUCCAUGUUGCUCCGUUUCUUACGUGUAUGGAAGCACUCACAUCAAAUGUGAUCACAAUCCAAGGCCUAGCGCAACCCUCUAUCUUGAUGAUGACAAAAAAUACGACAAGAUAGGAGAGGAAUAUAGACAUAAAUCCUAGUCACAAUUAAUGUUGUAUGUAACCUCUCGUUCUUAGGUUCCCCUCUUCUCUCAGGGCCUCACCUCUAGGCAUCGAGAGGUGAGGAAAACAAAGAACUAAUGUUGAAGGUUGGGUUUAGUGUUAUUUUAUCAUGACAUGUCUGUGUGUUCUUAACGUCAACACCUUAUAGGUGAUUGCAACGACACAUAAUAAAAAAGUUAUAUGACAUUCUUUCUGUCCUGGUGCAAUCAUUGUGGCCGACGCAUCUGAAAUCAAAGAGAGAGUAGUAUUCUGGCCCCGUGGAUCAACAACCUUCCAUUUUGUGGACCAUUACGCGACGAUUUUGGAUUGUCUUGGUGAUAUAUACAAGGUGGCCCGAUCUUUCGAUGAGAUAGUACAAAUUUUGUUUGUGGGGACUUUGGUGACAUGUCUAAGAAGACUUUGAUGAUCAUAUUUGACCAAACACUUGACAAUGUGUCUAAGCUAAACCAACUCUCUUAUGGUUAUUCAUGGUGUUGAAUACGCAAUCAACCUGGUAAAGAAGGUACUCCCUCCGUGCAACGAAAGGACAAGCAAUAGUUUAAUACAUACAAUUUGAGCUCAGACAUAAAUCGAAGUACUCGAUUAACAUGGUGGGGCAAUCACGACGAGUGUACAUGAGGUCUCGCCGAUUCUCGUGUCUAUGGCAAACGGUAGCAAACGCUAAAACUCAAAGUAAACUCUACAUGGUGAUCUAUCUAUGUAGGACAAAGGGGUGGACGCAUGUUCGAGGUAGCAAAAACACAAUCCUAGGUCGUACCGUUGGGGAACGUCGCAUGGGAAACAAAAAUUUUCCUACGCGCACGAAAACCUAUCAUGGUGAUGUCCAUCGACGAGAGGGGAUGAGUGAUCUACGUACCCUCGUAGACCGUACAGCAGAAGCGUUAGAGAACGCGGUUGAUGUAGUGGAACGUCCUCACGUCCCUCGAUCCGCCCCGCGAACAAUCCCGCGAUCAGUCCCACGAUCUAGUACCGAACGGACGGCACCUCCGCGUUCAGCACACGUACAGCUCGACGAUGAUCUCGGCCUUCUUGAUCCAGCAAGAGAGACGGAGAGGUAGAAGAGUUCUCCGGCAGCGUGACGGCGCUCCGGAGGUUGGUGAUGAUCUUGUCUCAGCAGGGCUCCGCCCGAGCUCCGCAGAAACGCGAUCUAGAGGAAAAACUAUGGAGGUAUGUGGUCGGGCAGCCGUGAGAAAGUCGUCUCAAAUCAGCCCUAAUUGCUCCAUAUAUAUAGGAGGAGGGAGGGGGGACCUUGCCUUGGGGUCCACGGACCCCCAAGGAGUCGGCCGAGCCAAGGGGGGGAGGACUCCCCCCCCAAACCGAGUUGGACUUGGUUUGGUGGAAGGAGUCCCCCUCCCUUCCCACUUCCUCCCACUUUUUUUUUCUUUUCCUUUGAUUUCUUAUUCUUGGCGCAUAGGCCCCCUUGGGGCUGUCCCACCAGCCCACUAAGGGCUGGUGUGUCUCCCCAAAGCCUAUGGGCUUCCCCGGGGUGGGUUGCCCCCCCCGGUGAACUCCCGGAACCCAUUCGUCAUUCCCGGUACAUUCCCGGUAACUCCGAAAACCUUCCGGUAAUCAAAUGAGGUCAUCCUAUAUAUCAAUCUUCGUUUCCGGACCAUUCCGGAAACCCUCGUGACGUCCGUGAUCUCAUCCGGGACUCCGAACAACAUUCGGUAACCAACCAUAUAACUCAAAUACGCAUAAAACAACGUCGAACCUUAAGUGUGCAGACCCUGCGGGUUCGAGAACUAUGUAGACAUGACCCGAGAGACUCCUCGGUCAAUAUCCAAUAGCGGGACCUGGAUGCCCAUAUUGGAUCCUACAUAUUCUACGAAGAUCUUAUCGUUUGAACCUCAGUGCCAAGGAUUCGUAUAAUCCCGUAUGUCAUUCCCUUUGUCCUUCGGUAUGUUACUUGCCCGAGAUUCGAUCGUCAGUAUCCGCAUACCUAUUUCAAUCUCGUUUACCGGCAAGUCUCUUUACUCGUUCCGUAAUACAAGAUCCCGCAACUUACACUAAGUUACAUUGCUUGCAAGGCUUGUGUGUGAUGUUGUAUUACCGAGUGGGCCCCGAGAUACCUCUCCGUCACACGGAGUGACAAAUCCCAGUCUUGAUCCAUACUAACUCAACUAACACCUUCGGAGAUACCUGUAGAGCAUCUUUAUAGUCACCCAGUUACGUUGCGACGUUUGAUACACACAAAGCAUUCCUCCGGUGUCAGUGAGUUAUAUGAUCUCAUGGUCAUAGGAAUAAAUACUUGACACGCAGAAAACAGUAGCAACAAAAUGACACGAUCAACAUGCUACGUCUAUUAGUUUGGGUCUAGUCCAUCACGUGAUUCUCCCAAUGACGUGAUCCAGUUAUCAAGCAACAACACCUUGUUCAUAAUCAGAAGACACUGACUAUCAUCGAUCAACUGGCUAGCCAACUAGAGGCAUGCUAGGGAUGGUGUUUUGUCUAUAUAUCCACACAUGUAAAUGAGUCUUCAUUCAAUACAAUUAUAGCAUGGAUAAUAAACUAUUAUCUUGAUACAGGAAUUAUAAUAAUAACUAUAUUUAUUAUUGCCUCUAGGGCAUAAUUCCAACAGUCUCCCACUUGCACUAGAGUCAAUAAUCUAGCCCUCACAUCACAAUGCGAAUUACAUUGUAAUAAAUCUAACACCCAUACAGUUCUGGUGUCGAUCAUGUUUUGGCCGUGGAAGAGGUUUACUCAGCGGGUCUGCUACAUUCAGAUCCGUGUGCACUUUGCAUAUAUUUAUGUCCUCUUCCUCGACAUAGUCGUGGAUGAGGUUGAAGCGUCGUUUGAUGUGUCUGGUCUUCUUGUGAAACCGUGGUUCCUUUGCUAAGGCAAUGGCACCCGUGUUGUCAGAGAACAAGGUUAUUGGAUCCAGUGCACUUGGCACCACUCCAAGAUCCGUCAUGAACUUCUUCAUCCAGACACCCUCCUUAGCCGCCUCCGAGGCAGCCAUGUACUCCGCUUCACAUGUAGAAUCUGCUACGACGCUUUGCUUGGAACUGCACCAGCUUACCGCACCCCCAUUAAGAAUAAAUACGUAUCCGGUUUGCGACUUAGAGUCGUCCGGAUCUGUGUCAAAGCUUGCAUCGACGUAACCUUUUACGGCGAGCUCUUCGUCACCUCCAUACACGAGAAACAUCUCCUUAGUCCUUUUCAGGUACUUCAGGAUAUUCUUGACCGCUGUCCAGUGAUCCACUCCUGGAUUNGUAUUUGAAAAUAAAAAUAAAGUCUCAGGUUGAUCGACAAGGAAGGAAAAACUUGUCUUCAGCGCUUGGACAGCUCAUUUUGACUUGGUCUUGAGCGAGCAGAGAGCGAACCGAGUAGUACAUAAACUACGAACCGAAGUCGACCCCAAAAGUCUCAAGUCUCUUUCACACACGAACGUGUGCGAUGAGCGGAGCCAGGUGGAUUUCACAUGAGGCUACGCUGCCUCCAUCCUUUCCCCUACAUUCAGUUUAGCCCUUGUUAAAUGUUGGGUCAUGGUGAGGUAAACCUUGUUAAAUGUUGGGUCAUGGUGAGGUAAACCUUGUUAAAUGUUGAGCAUAUGACAUGGUGAUGUGUGUUUCCGUUUUUUUUAUAAAAAAAAAAGGAAUACCGUGUGCACGCCAUAGUAAGCAACAUAUGCUAAUUUUUGAAGUGUUUCUUAUCCCUGUAAGAAGGCCCACCAAUCCUGAAUUUCAAUUUUUGACGAAUGAAUUAGUAGUAGCAUCACCUUUUGCUGGGCACUUCUUUGAGAUAAAACCUUCUUGGCAUUCCGAAGCUAUGUUCCUUCUGAUGAUAUUGCCUUAAAACUCCAAUCACCGUUCUGUAGUUGGAAAUGUUGCAAAUUGCAUUCUCUCGGAAGGGGAAUAAUACAAGACCAAAGAAUGAAAGAAUUUGUAUUGAUCUCUGUAUUUGUGUCCAAUUUGAACAUCACGUAUACACACAUCACUACAAGAUCUACACAAGGAGUACUUCGUUUUGCUCCCAAUAACUUUAUUCCCCUACCAUAUGCACAACUGAUGAACAAGAAUAGCUCGUUCAUCAUAAACUGAUCAGUAGUCCCUGCUGCAGAUGCGUGGCAUGGAACGCCUCUCUCGGCGUCAGCGGCUCACAGCCUCUCGACAUCGGGCUGCCACCCCUCUGUGGCGACGAGAACCGCGACGUCGCCCUGCCGCCCCUCCUCGGCGACAGGUGCACCUCCUCCAGCGCCCGGUGCUGGAGCUCCGGCGGGUAGUCCCUGACGCACACGAUCCGGGGUCCGGCGCCGGUGGUCCACUUGAAGGACACUUGCUUCCCCAGCUGAUAUGAGUUGACCCUCCCAAUGACCUUCUCCCUUGACACCACGGAAUGAUCAUCAUCACUGUCCCCCUGAUCAUCUUCAGGCAUGGAAGUUAUUGAUUUUUCGAUGUUUACUGCGCCCUUCGAUGAAUCUAGCCUUGCCAAUAUCUCCGGUUGGCUACGAUCGUUGCCUGUUUCUUGGAGUUGGAAGACUUCUUCAGGUGUGGUUUCAGUGACCUCAGCCAGGCAAGGGAUGGUUUCUUCAGCAGGAACCAUUUCAUCUUCGGGUUUGUCGCCAUCGACGCACCGCUCAGUAGGGAUGCUUCUGAGCCUGCUCCAGAACUCCUCAUCCUCUUCAGCUGGGCUCAUCUGCAAUCAUGCAAAGAGAACAACUGAGAAAAUGCAAAUUGGAUAAUUUUAUUGUCACCGCAUUUUGGGAACUUUCUCAUUCUACCCCAAUCAUC
This 7636-nucleotide long non-coding RNA is filed under the name Hordeum vulgare. RNAcentral describes it as "long non-coding RNA (HVUL_LNC003150)". The record is from RNAcentral. Lineage: Eukaryota; Viridiplantae; Streptophyta; Magnoliopsida; Poales; Poaceae.